Molecule: long non-coding RNA, 1201 nt
Filed under: Homo sapiens (human)
Lineage: Eukaryota; Metazoa; Chordata; Mammalia; Primates; Hominidae
Description: non-protein coding lnc-PFKP-39:2
Source: RNAcentral
GACAACAGUACCUGUAGUUGUUUGAAGAGGAGGUUUCAGUAGUGACCUGUACCCUUGGUAAUAACAGGCUUUAUAGGUAACAAAAUGUGUUCUCUGCCUACUGAAUAACAAAACACCAAUCAUGAGAUAACGCUUAGUAAAGCUGACUCAUUUCCUCCUUUACAGAUGAAAGGAGUUGUCCAAGAAAUGACUAUCUCAGAGGGAAAUUUUCCUUCAGGUCAUUACGUGAGUCUCUUUAAAGCAUGGCGGACUGUAGCAUUAGGUUUUCAGUUAUUAGGUAUAUUAAAAAGUAAAUUUUAUUAUGAAAUAAUAUCAUACAUUUAAAGCCCGGUCCGGUUUUAUCUUGAAAUAUGUGAUAACUCCUGGUUUCAGAUGCGAUUCAGAAGAAAUAGGUUGACUUGUAUCAUCAGGUGUCCAGAAGAUUAAAAUUUCUGUUUUAUUAAAAUGUGGAAUUCACGUUUGUUUUCAGCCAAGCAAGGUUUGGUGAUUCUGCAGCUGUCACCCUCAGCAUCUCUGUAGGACAGCCUCUUGCCCCUCUUCACCCAGGUCUGCAGGAGGGUGGCAGCGUGGCUUGGGAAGGCUGGGUGGCGGGAGCUCAGAGGGGGUGCAGUGUUCCCACCACACAGCGGCGGCUCAACUGCCCAGGCUGUGGGGUUUCCAGCUGUGUCGUGUUGACUUGAACCGACUCAGCAGGCGGUGCCCUCCUGGAGCACCUGAAGCCUCCAGAGAAAUAUGAUGGAAAACCAAGAGGCCUCCACCUCCCUGACUUGCUGCGACCUCCUGGGCUUUGCAGCCAGGCUGCUUUCGUGGAUGCAGUCCUCGAAGCUAGUUUGGAAGACAUUUAUUUUUAAAUAUACAGGAAGCCAAAUACGUUGAGAGAAAAGCCGCCUAAUGCAUUCCUCUGUUCAUCUCCAAAGUCAUAGCUGGUUUUCUAGACCCGAUUUUCAUCAGACUUUCCAAAGACAGAAAGAGUCUCCUCUACAUAGGGCUUCCUUCUUUGCCUUCAUCUGUAAUGCGAGCCUUGCCCUAGGUUGCCUCUCUCUCUCCUUGCUCCGCCUGCUUCGGAAUUCUCCUGUCAUUUCAACAGUGGUACCAAGCUUUUUGUUGUUAGGAAAUCACAAAUUCUGAAACACACUCAACUGAGCAGAUUUAAAAAUAACCUAGGCUUCUCUACUAUUUGGUUGUUUGAAUGCAAAGCAAA